CUUCCCUGUCUGGAGACAAAAAAGCUUUGUUUGAGCAAGUCAGGUUUGCCUGGAAAAAGACAGAGGGAGGGAUGGAAACAAAAGGUCCUGGGUGUUUAGGUUCAGAGCAUGGUGAGGAUCUCAGAUUGGCCUUAGCGCUCGUGGAUGCUGCAUCUUUUUCUGUCAUCAGGGUGUGGAUCUAAAGAGCCUGAAACUCUGAAUUUCAAACUGGAAAGGGAAAAGAUGGAGCAGUAUCUGGUGUUUGGAAGAAUUUAAAGAGGAGUUCAAACAGUGAGGCUCAGGUUAAUAAUAUGAAUACCUUAAGAAACAACAAAAAGCCAUGGAUGCUUUAUGAGACAGAAGUACCACACAGCAGGAUUUGUGAUCCAGCCUUUGGAGUAAGUGCUGCAGAGAAACUGACCCCCGAGCACCUGCAGCUACUGAGAAAUGCAUUUAACCGGUCAGAAGAUGAAGCACAGAUACAUGAAAACAUGUCGAAAGGAAGGAGCGGAAGGAACAGAGGAGGAAAGGAAGAACAUGGAAUGAAGUUUGAAGAGUUUCGGGAAGUUCUUAGGUCUGUGGUUGGUCCAGAUGUUGAGGACACAUGGGUUGAGAGGUUCUUCAGUGAGGUAGAUAUCAGCUGUACCGGGCAGGUGAAGUGGCAGCAGCUUUGUUCCUACCUGCUUCUGGAGUACACUGAGAGAGAGCGCGCCUCCAUUCCCAGAGCUGCACCUCUGGACUCCCAGCCGCAGAUCAGACACUGCUCUCAUAACAAGCGGGAGCCAACAGUACGUGUGGUUGCUGUCUCCCACCCUCCUCCGCUCCGUUAUGUUAGUGUCAGUAAGGGAGGUCAGAUCACUGUCUGGAACAGCAGCCUACACAUCCUUAAAACUCUAGGGCUUGCUGGAGACCCAACAGAGCAAAUUGCCAACACGAGGAGAUUUAGAGGUUGGACCACUGAUGCUGUUUACAUGGGAAACGUCCACAAGGUUGCCAUAGCAUCUGACUGUAGGGACUUGCACUUUGUGAAUGUCGCCAUGGGCAGUGUAUUUGAGGAUGUCCACCUGUUUGGGUUCCGUAGUGUCCCUAGUGCACUUUGUUACUGGCAUGAUGUUCAGUUUCCAGAGCGGCCCUCUCUGCUGCUACUGGGGGAUGAAAAAGGAGGAGUUCACCUCAUGUGGUUCCUGAAUCCAUCUAAAGGACUUUUCAAGAAUCCAUCCAAGGCAGAGAAUGGCCCACAGAGGAUAUAUUUCCCAGACAUCGGUGAACACAGCGACGUGGUGUCCUACCGUCACAUUCCUAACAUCCACCAGGAACCAAUCAACAGAGUGAUGUUUGAGCCCAGCGCCAACGUCAUCAUGACAUCAUCAGAAAGUGACACGACCUCUGUGGUUUUUAUUAAUGUGACCCUAAAGCAGGAGCCCUAUGUUUGGUCAUUUAAGCAGGGGGCUAAAUGUUUUGACUACAAUGGCUCUUUGCAGUUGAUGGUCACCGGAGGUUGUGACCGAGCAGUCAGACUGUGGACUCGCUUUGUGACCACCCGUCCCAUAGCCACGCUGCGGGGUCACUGCACCACUGUGUUGGAUGUUGCAAUCUACCAACCUGUUGGGCAGAUCUUCAGCUACUCCAGAGAUGCUGAGCUGAGGGUUUGGGACAUUUCCAGCCAUCACUGUCUGAAAACCAUCUGCCUGCAGUUCCCAUGCCAGCAGCCAGGUCGAAUCCCAGAACACGGCAACUUCCCCUUCCUGUUGCUGAGCCCGCCUCUUCCUGAUCACACACGGUCUCAUUUAGUGGUGGGAUGCAAAGAUUACCUGGCACUGCUCAACCUGGCUGAAACGAGAAGAGGAGGAGGCGGAUGGAUGGCAGAUGAAGGAAAGGAAACUGGACCAAAGAUUCAAACUGGUCCUGCCCUCUCCUGUGCGCUGUACAACUCCACUCUGAGACAGGUGGCGACGGGACAUGUCAACUCAUCUGUGUCUCUGUGGGACGUGGAGUCGGGGAGGAGGCGGCUUCAGAUCUUGAACGCUCAUGGAGAAGAUGAGCUCACCUGCAUGGCACUAGACUCCUCCCACAGAAGACUGAUCACUGGGGCUCGGAACGGCACUAUUAAGGUGUGGAACUUACUAAAUGGCCUUAACUUGCACAAACUGGAACCCGUCACCAACUCUGAAGUCACCGGGUUGACCUGUCUCCAUGACAACCAGCUGCUGGCUGUGGGGUGGAGCCAGCGGGUCGCUCAAUAUGACAUCGCAGCUGCCAAGGAUUUGUAUGUAAGAGCGGACCUGUCGUGGAAGUCCAGCGGCGUUCACAAGUCAGACAUCUUGGCUGCGUGUCAGUGCUCUGCUCUGGGGGUUGUUGCCACGGCGAGCCAUGAUGGAGAGGUUGUUAUCUGGAGGCUGGAAACGCAAGGACCAGUGCUUCACCUACAGAAACCGACACAGAGAGGAGUGGCGCCCCCUGUGGACAGCCUCUUGUUCCUGCAACAUCGGGCUGUCAACAGACAGUUGAGAAACAAAGGCGUCCUGGUCUCAUCCCAGGCGGGCAUCCUCGGCUUUUGGAGCAUCACUGGACAGACGCACACGUUUGGCCAGUUCUAUGCUCCAGAGCAGCCAGGUGAGCGUGUGUUGAGCCUGAGCUCAGAUCAGCCUAAAAACUCCAUCCUGGUCUCUGGAGACACAACGGGCUGGCUUCAGAUCUGGGAUAUCAAUCACUAUGCACUGGACGUCCAGCAUGAGCCAGAUAGUGAGCGGCCUCCUCUGCUGCAGUGUUGGAAGGCUCAUGAGAGAGCAUUAGUAAGUGUGGAGGUUCUGGAGGUUGCCGACAGAUUGUUUGUCCUCACAGCCUCGGCAGAUGGCUCUGCUGGACUGUGGACAAAGGACGGAGAUCAUGUGGGUUCUUUCGGGCACGAAGCGAUGUGGAAUAUCACUGAGCCAGCUACUUACCAGAGGAAGACGCAAAAGGAACUGACAGAAGACACGGGGGAGACAACUGAAAGUGCCGUAACGGGGCUCAUCAAGGCCAAAAGUCAAGUACCCAGCCCCACCAACAGGGGUCAAACUUCAGAGGAAGAAUGCUGUUCUGAAGGCAAUCAUUUAUUGCAAACAGCUGUUUUGAGUCCACUUUAGCUUCAUCCGCCGCCCAGCAGCGAAUGACCACGAGCAACCUCAGCAACCCAAGACAGGAGCUUUAUGUUACGAGAGGAGACCUCUGUUUGAUGACAUCCACCACAGCAGUCACUGUUGAUUGGCUGUUUUCUCCACAUCAGACUCCUGCAGGUGAUUUUCGCACUGAUUCCUGGAUCCUUUCCCUUCUCUCCUCCUCCUGCUGGCUUGAUAAAUAAAAAGUGGUUUUACGGGGGGUGCCAGACUACUGUAUUUAUUGGCAAGUCUUGUCACACUGUGAAAGUGCAGGGCAAACAACGAAGACAGCCAAAGUGCUGGUUAGUAGAUGUCGUUACCUUUGGAGCCAGGCUAGCUGUUUCCCCCUAUUUCCAGUCAUUAUGCUAAGCUAAGCUAACUGUCUAGCUUCAAAAUUAAUAGACAGACACGAGAGUCGAUAUUAAACUCACAGCAAGAAAGCCAAUACCAAAUUAACUAUUCCUUUAACUAUUUAAUAUGCUGUGCAGAAAGAAUGCAGUUGUCACUCAAAGCAUUAGUAUGUGACUUUUGAAAGAGAAAGUGACACAUUAUUUUUCUUACAAAUGAUAAGCAAAACUUCUUAAACAAUUACAA
Molecule: RNA transcript, 3710 nt
Organism: Etheostoma spectabile (orangethroat darter)
Lineage: Eukaryota; Metazoa; Chordata; Actinopteri; Perciformes; Percidae
Gene name: WD repeat-containing protein 49
Exons: 18
Source: RefSeq, a predicted model, not a curated record